Molecule: non-coding RNA, 113 nt
Organism: Paramuricea clavata
Lineage: Eukaryota; Metazoa; Cnidaria; Anthozoa; Malacalcyonacea; Plexauridae
Source: the annotation of a GenBank genome assembly
AUGCGAAGGCGAGAGAAAGACAGCGAGGAAAAAUGGAAGGGGCGAGAAUGAAAUAGCUAUUUCUUUCUCGCCCCUCCCAUUUUUCUUCGCUCUCUUUCUCUCGCCUUUGCAUA